Molecule: long non-coding RNA, 279 nt
Filed under: Capra hircus (goat)
Lineage: Eukaryota; Metazoa; Chordata; Mammalia; Artiodactyla; Bovidae
Description: lncRNA (ENSCHIG00010000117.1)
Source: RNAcentral
ACACCUCCAGGGAUUCUCAACAUUUACGUGGCAGAACUGAGACAUUAACAGACGUACUGAUGGGAAUAACCGAAAUCAAGAAUAAGGAUAAAAGAAUCCGAAAAAGUUAAAGAAGAUAUAUAUUCAGUCUCCAAACCAGAAAGUCAACUAAAUGGCCUUAUCAUGAAAAGGACAUCUUUUUUUGGUGUUAGUUCUAGAAAGUGUUGUAGAUGUUCUAUAUUUGCCAAGUAACCUUUGAGACCAGGAUAUCUAAUGCUUCCAUUUUAUGUAAGUUCAAGA